RNAcentral lists this ribosomal RNA (253 nucleotides) under uncultured bacterium. Its description in RNAcentral is "partial 16S ribosomal RNA". It matches the Rfam family "Bacterial small subunit ribosomal RNA", at positions 524 to 776 of the family's 1533-position model. The record is from RNAcentral.
GACAGAGGAGCCAAGCGUUGUCCGGAUUGACUGGGCGUAAGGCGCACGCAGGCGGCCCGGCGCGUGGGGUGUGAAAGCUGGCGGCUUAACUGCCAGACGCCAUCCCAUACGGCUGGGCUCGAGCCCUGCAGAGGUCCAUGGAAUUGCCGGUGUAGUGGUGAAAUGCGUAGAGAUCGGCAGGAACACCCAGGGGGAAACCAGUGGACUGGGCAGGAGCUGACGCUCAGGUGCGAAAGCGUGGGGAGCGAACCGG